UACGGAGGAUGCGAGCGUUAUCCGGAUUUAUUGGGUUUAAAGGGUGCGCAGGCGGCACGGCAAGCCGGCGGUCAAAUCGCGGGGCUCAACCCCGCCCAGCCGUCGGAACUGCCGGGCUAGAGUGGGCGAGAAGUGCGCGGAAUGCGUGGUGUAGCGGUGAAAUGCAUAGAUAUCACGCAGAACUCCGAUUGCGAAGGCAGCGCACCGGCGCCCUACUGACGCUCAGGCACGGAAGCGUGGGUAUCGGACAGG
RNAcentral lists this ribosomal RNA (252 nucleotides) under uncultured bacterium. Its description in RNAcentral is "partial 16S ribosomal RNA". It matches the Rfam family "Bacterial small subunit ribosomal RNA", at positions 524 to 776 of the family's 1533-position model. The record is from RNAcentral.